This 810-nucleotide ribosomal RNA is filed under the name uncultured bacterium. RNAcentral describes it as "bacterial SSU rRNA". It matches the Rfam family "Bacterial small subunit ribosomal RNA", at positions 62 to 864 of the family's 1533-position model. The record is from RNAcentral.
UCGAACGGCAGCACGGGAGCAAUCCUGGUGGCGAGUGGCGAACGGGUGAGUAACAUAUCGGAACGUGCCCAGUGAUGGGGGAUAGCCCGGCGAAAGCCGGAUUAAUACCGCAUACGACCUACGGGUGAAAGCAGGGGAUCGCAAGACCUUGCGUCAUUGGAGCGGCCGAUAUCAGAUUAGCUUGUUGGUGGGGUAAAAGCCUACCAAGGCGACGAUCUGUAGCUGGUCUGAGAGGACGACCAGCCACACUGGGACUGAGACACGGCCCAGGCUCCUACGGGAGGCAGCAGUGGGGAAUUUUGGACAAUGGGCGCAAGCCUGAUCCAGCCAUGCCGCGUGCGGGAAGAAGGCCUUCGGGUUGUAAACCGCUUUUGUCAGGGAAGAAACGGUUCGGGCUAAUACCUCGAACUAAUGACGGUACCUGAAGAAUAAGCACCGGCUAACUACGUGCCAGCAGCCGCGGUAAUACGUAGGGUGCAAGCGUUAAUCGGAAUUACUGGGCGUAAAGCGUGCGCAGGCGGUUAUGCAAGACAGAUGUGAAAUCCCCGGGCUCAACCUGGGAACUGCAUUUGUGACUGCAUGACUUGAGUACGGUAGAGGGGGAUGGAAUUCCCGCGUGUAGCAGUGAAAAUGCGUAGAUAUGCGGAGGAACACCGAUGGCGAAGGCAAUCCCCUGGACCUGUACUGACGCUCAUGCACGAAAAGCGUGGGGGAGCAAACAGGAUUAGAUACCCUGGUAGUCCACGCCCUAAACGAUGUCAACUGGUUGUUGGGAGGGUUUCUUCUCAGUAACGAAGCUAACGCGUGAAG